GGAUAAUUGGAUUACUUUCCCCAUUGUCCAGGAUAGAGGGCUCUGUAAAUCCGGUUUGGGCCAGAAAACCAUGCUGCCAGCUAGGCCCCAAAAGAUACUUUUGCUAACUUGUGAACCCCUUGUCUGAUUUGUGCCAGUUUGUAAUAUGUUGCUCCCCUGAAUGGAUUGAUUCUAAAUAUGUAUUUUUAUGAAGAUUGGAUGUGUAGUUUGGAAGUUAUAGUACCUGUAUAAAAACUGUAUUUUUACUGUUCUGUUUUAAUUAUGUUAUGUGUUUAUCUGAGGGAUGGGAAUUUCCCCGAAUGUAUAUUGUUCCGAUUGGUUAUACUGCUAAUUAUGUGGGUGUCUCCCUUGCAUGGGCAGAAU
Pelobates cultripes (western spadefoot toad) is the source of this 363-nucleotide non-coding RNA. The record is from the annotation of a GenBank genome assembly. NCBI's taxonomy places the organism in Eukaryota, Metazoa, Chordata, Amphibia, Anura, Pelobatidae.